CUACGGGUGGCUGCAGUGGGGAAUAUUGCACAAUGGAGGAAACUCUGAUGCAGCAACGCCGCGUGGAGGAUGACACUUUUCGGAGCGUAAACUCCUUUUAUAUAGGAAGAAGAUGACGGUACUAUAUGAAUAAGCGCCGGCUAACUCCGUGCCAGCAGCCGCGGUAAUACGGAGGGCGCAAGCGUUACUCGGAAUCACUGGGCGUAAAGAGCGUGUAGGCGGAUUAAAAAGUCAGAAGUGAAAUCCUAUAGCUUAACUAUAGAACUGCUUCUGAAACUCUUAAUCUAGAAUAUGGGAGAGGUAGAUGGAAUUUCUGGUGUAGGGGUAAAAUCCGUAGAGAUCAGAAGGAAUACCGAUUGCGAAGGCGAUCUACUAGAACAUUACUGACGCUAAGGCGUGAAAGCGUGGGGAGCAAACAGGAUUAGAUACCCCGGUAGUC
Molecule: ribosomal RNA, 439 nt
Filed under: uncultured bacterium
Lineage: Bacteria
Description: partial 16S ribosomal RNA
Rfam family: Bacterial small subunit ribosomal RNA
Source: RNAcentral